AGAGUUUGAUCCUGGCUCAGAUUGAACGCUGGCGGCAUGCCUUACACAUGCAAGUCGAACGGUAACAGGUUAAGCUGACGAGUGGCGAACGGGUGAGUAAUAUAUCGGAACGUGCCCAGUCGUGGGGGAUAACGCAGCGAAAGCUGUGCUAAUACCGCAUACGAUCUAUGGAUGAAAGCGGGGGACUUGCAAGAGCCUCGCGCGAUUGGAGUGGCCGAUAUCAGAUUAGCUAGUUGGUGGGGUAAAAGCUCACCAAGGCGACGAUCUGUAGCUGGUCUGAGAGGACGACCAGCCACACUGGAACUGAGACACGGUCCAGACUCCUACGGGAGGCAGCAGUGGGGAAUUUUGGACAAUGGGCGCAAGCCUGAUCCAGCAAUGCCGCGUGCAGGAUGAAGGCCUUCGGGUUGUAAACUGCUUUUGUACGGAGCGAAAAGGUUCUUUCUAAUACAAGGGAUUCAUGACGGUACCGUAAGAAUAAGCACCGGCUAACUACGUGCCAGCAGCCGCGGUAAUACGUAGGGUGCGAGCGUUAAUCGGAAUUACUGGGCGUAAAGCGUGCGCAGGCGGUUUUGUAAGACAAAUGUGAAAACCCCGGGCUCAACCUGGGAACUGCAUAUGUGACUGCAAGGCUAGAGUACGGUAGAGGGGGAUGGAAUUCCGCGUGUAGCAGUGAAAUGCGUAGAUAUGCGGAGGAACACCGAUGGCGAAGGCAAUCCCCUGGACCUGUACUGACGCUCAUGCACGAAAGCGUGGGGAGCAAACAGGAUUAGAUACCCUGGUAGUCCACGCCCUAAACGAUGUCAACUGGUUGUUGGGUCUUUACUGACUCAGUAACGAAGCUAACGCGUGAAGUUGACCGCCUGGGGAGUACGGCCGCAAGGUUG
Molecule: ribosomal RNA, 887 nt
Filed under: uncultured beta proteobacterium
Lineage: Bacteria; Pseudomonadati; Pseudomonadota; Betaproteobacteria
Description: bacterial SSU rRNA
Rfam family: Bacterial small subunit ribosomal RNA
Source: RNAcentral